This 229-nucleotide ribosomal RNA is filed under the name uncultured bacterium. RNAcentral describes it as "partial 16S ribosomal RNA". It matches the Rfam family "Bacterial small subunit ribosomal RNA", at positions 568 to 796 of the family's 1533-position model. The record is from RNAcentral.
UGUGUAGGCGGAUUUAUAAGUCAGUGGUGAAAUCCUACAGCUUAACUGUAGAACUGCCAUUGAUACUGUAGAUCUUGAGUACGGUUGAGGUGGGCGGAAUGUGUCAUGUAGCGGUGAAAUGCUUAGAUAUGACACAGAACACCAAUUGCGAAGGCAGCUCGCUAAACCGUAACUGACGCUGAGGCACGAAAGCGUGGGGAGCGAACAGGAUUAGAUACCCUGGUAGUCC